UACGAACGCCGGCGGCGUGCUUAACACAUGCAAGUCGAGCGGUAAGGCCCUUUCGGGGGUACACGAGCGGCGAACGGGUGAGUAACACGUGGGUGACCUGCCCUUAGCUCUGGGAUAAGCCUGGGAAACUGGGUCUAAUACCGGAUAUGACUCCAUGACGCAUGUUGUGGGGUGGAAAGCCUUGUGCGGCUGGGGAUGGGCCCGCGGCCUAUCAGCUUGUUGGUGGGUGAUGGCCUACCAAGGCGA
Molecule: ribosomal RNA, 246 nt
Filed under: uncultured Actinomycetes bacterium
Lineage: Bacteria; Bacillati; Actinomycetota; Actinomycetes
Description: uncultured actinobacterium partial 16S ribosomal RNA
Rfam family: Bacterial small subunit ribosomal RNA
Source: RNAcentral